UCCCUAAGAGUCUCAGCUUUCUUUCGUGUCAAGAAUGGGGUCUCAAGGAAAGGCUCGAUACUUGACAAUAAUACUCCUAAUUGUUACCAUUAUUUUGCUAUCAUGCUCUAACCUUACUGUGAUAGCGAGGCCAUCAACUCCAUGCACAUAUGACCCCAAAGAUGGUAAGUGCAAAUACGGUGAACCAGCUGCAGCUCCAAUCGUAUGAUGAAUGAGUAAUCGUUUAUCCUUGUAUUAGCCAAGAAGGCAUGCAUGGCUACUUAAUUUAUCCAUGGUAAUUAUUUAUGUGUCCUCCUUCGCUAGCUGGUUUAGGUUACUAAUUACUAGCUAUUGCCAUGUUUUCUUUUCCCAUGCUUUUUGGCAUUUGUACCCAUUAAUUCUUCACCUUGCUUUGAUUUGCCAACGUUAUGCUAUUAAUAAAGUUUCUUCGCUUAUCUAAAAGAAAAAGAAAAGCUAGCUAAUUGCGUAUUUAUACUUUUAUUCUUUUGAGAAGUCGACAUACUCCAAUGCAUGCAUGGUUCGUUAUUAAUAUCGUCAUACAUAUAUUACGAAUUUAAUCUUUAAACAUUUAGUACAAACCCAGAGGCCAGCACAUUAAUUUGUUGUGUAUUUCGGUUUUGGGCAUCCCAAAAUGCUUGUGCAUAAAAAUAGGAGUAGUAGGAGAGGAAAUUAAACGAAAAAAAUAUUUUUUUCCUCAUACCUUUCAAAGAUAUGGCUACACAUCCCCUCUUACGAGAGAGGUCCACGAGAUAGAUUGAACUAUUUUAUCAUUGGAAUUAAAAAAUAUAUAUGGAUUUUACAUUUUGGGUCAAAUCAAAUGGUGUAUACUAAUAAUAAUAAUAAUAAUAAAAAUAAAAAUUUAAUUGUUCGAUAUUUUGAUUUCAUGGCUACUACGCAAGGCAAUACCUAUAGCCAUUCAUUUUGCAAGUCAAGAUCAACUCUUAAAUUAAUUAGUUUUUUGAGGAAGGAUUUUAAUAGAUCCCACAACGACAAAUCAACUCCAUCUUAUUUGGAUUAUGGCAAUUUAGAGGACUAAUUUGCGUGUUAUGCAGGUUCUGUAUCUUAAAGUCCAUGCCUUGGAUUUAAUUAAGAGAUCAACAUUUGACAUUUUAUCACGCCGGCACAAUCAUCUCCAUCUUCACCACCACCCGCCAAAAACAUUUAUAAUCUAUAUAUAUAUGGAGGUUUUCCCUUGUGCUUAAUUUCAACCAUUAGUGGUUGUGUAAUUUAUCUUAUUAUAUUUUUUUAUGCCUAGUUGUAUAAUUAUAUAAACUAUAAAUGAAUUUAAUUUAAUCAGAUUAUCAAUAACAUUCCUCUCUUUAAAUUUAGAGCAGGCGAACCAGACAUUGAUUUUGUUUUAAGUUUAUUGUUUUUGUCUUAGCAGGGGGCGACCUUAAAAAUUCUAAUUUUUGUUUUAAAAAAAUCUUUUUCACCGUACAUCAACUAAUGAUUAAUUGACCCGUGUUCCCUUGAACCGUUCAAAAUAGUUUAAAUAAUAGUCUUAAUGUUAUUAUUAUGUUCACUCAUGAUAUUUUUAAUGUUGUAAGCAUACAAUAAACUCAUUCUAAAAUUCAUUCGUUGACCAAUUUUGAUUGUUUGCUAGAUGUUGUUGAUUUCUCUUAAUUAGUAAAAGGAACAAGUCAAGGAAAUAAAGAACUCAAGACAAUUAAAAACAUAUUGUAAUUAUUAAAAUUAUCAAACCAGAAGAGAUGCUCGUGCAUUUUGUAUAAUUUAUUUUACAGAGAAUUACACCAAACAUCCUAAGAUUCGAUCACAAUUACAUUUUCUCUUCAGUAUUUAAAAAAUUAUAUUUUACAUAAUACUAUCAAUAUAGCUCAUAACAUCUUACAUAUCGAGUAGUCAUGAAUGCCUGAAAAAAUUCCAAGAUAUAACAGGUUUGAAUUAUGACAAUCGACCGACGAAUUAAUAUGCUAUACUUAUUAUAUAUAUGUUUCAUCUCCUCCAGUUUUCUGAACUGUUUGUUUCUGAAGGGCCAUGACCAAGUCAGAAGAUUAAAAAUAAAAAUAUCAUAUAAAUAUGAUUUAUUUGACUACUUAGACAACCUAGCUAGACAUGCAUGAUCCACAAUAUAUUACUCCCUUUGAAUGCUAUUGAUGAAAAUAAUAAGAAACUAUUUCGGGGAAAGUAUGUCCAAUUACUAAUGAAUCUCUAAAGUCAAAUUAAAUGCUGUACGUAUACCUUUUCCAAUUCAACAUAUUGUGUCUCCUAUAUAUAUCAGCUAGCUAACCCUCCCCAUCUCGCAGACUAGCUCGCUCGCUCUCUACACAUACGUACCAAGACAUGCAUUUGAUAUUUCCCUAAGAGUCAGCUUUCUUUCGUGUCAAGAAUGGGGUCUCAAGGAAAGGCUCGAUACUUGACAAUAAUACUCCUCCUUGUUACCAUUAUUUUGUUAUCAUGCUCUAACCUUACUGUGAUAGCGAGGCCAUCAUUUUCAUGCACAUAUGAUCCCAAUGAUCCUAGUAAGUGCAAAGUCGGUGAACCAGCUGCAGCUCAAAGGUUUGAUGGGGGGAGGAGUUAGGAGAGGUGGUUUGACCUAAUCGUAUGAUGAAUGAUCAGUAAUCGUUUAUCCUUGUAUUAGCCAAGAAGGCAUG
RNAcentral lists this long non-coding RNA (2612 nucleotides) under Populus trichocarpa (black cottonwood). RNAcentral describes it as "long non-coding RNA (PTRI_LNC003931)". Lineage: Eukaryota; Viridiplantae; Streptophyta; Magnoliopsida; Malpighiales; Salicaceae. The record is from RNAcentral.